ACCUAUUUGUUGCCUCGGCGGUGCCUGUUCCGACAGCCCGCCAGAGGACCCCAAACCCUGAUUACAUUUAAGAAGUCUUCUGAGUAAACCGAUUAAAUAAAUCAAAACUUUCAACAACGGAUCUCUUGGUUCUGGCAUCGAUGAAGAACGCAGCGAAAUGCGAUAAGUAAUGUGAAUUGCAGAAUUCAGUGAAUCAUCGAAUCUUUGAACGCACAUUGCGCCCGCUAGUAUUCUGGCGGGCAUGCCUGUCCGAGCGUCAUUUCAACCCUCAAGCCCCCGGGCUUGGUGUUGGGGAUCGGCGAGCCUCCGCGCCCGCCGUCCCCUAAAUCUAGUGGCGGUCUCGCUGUAGCUUCCUCUGCGUAGUAGCACACCUCGCACUGGGAAACAGCGCGGCCACGCCGUUAAACCCCCAACUUCUGAACGUUUGACCUCGGAUCAGGUAGGAAUACCCGCUGAACUUAAGCAUAUCAAUAAG
Molecule: ribosomal RNA, 475 nt
Filed under: Ilyonectria sp. nwa_klng_201g
Lineage: Eukaryota; Fungi; Ascomycota; Sordariomycetes; Hypocreales; Nectriaceae
Description: eukaryotic LSU rRNA
Rfam family: 5.8S ribosomal RNA (bases 106-259)
Source: RNAcentral